RNAcentral lists this ribosomal RNA (404 nucleotides) under Brucella melitensis. Its description in RNAcentral is "partial 16S ribosomal RNA". It matches the Rfam family "Bacterial small subunit ribosomal RNA", at positions 355 to 776 of the family's 1533-position model. RNAcentral also lists the same sequence under 3 other names. Lineage: Bacteria; Pseudomonadati; Pseudomonadota; Alphaproteobacteria; Hyphomicrobiales; Brucellaceae. The record is from RNAcentral.
UGGGGAAUAUUGGACAAUGGGCGCAAGCCUGAUCCAGCCACGCCGCGUGAGUGAUGAAGGCCCUAGGGUUGUAAAGCUCUUUCACCGGUGAAGAUAAUGACGGUAACCGGAGAAGAAGCCCCGGCUAACUUCGUGCCAGCAGCCGCGGUAAUACGAAGGGGGCUAGCGUUGUUCGGAUUUACUGGGCGUAAAGCGCACGUAGGCGGACUUUUAAGUCAGGGGUGAAAUCCCGGGGCUCAACCCCGGAACUGCCUUUGAUACUGGAAGUCUUGAGUAUGGUAGAGGUGAGUGGAAUUCCGAGUGUAGAGGUGAAAUUCGUAGAUAUUCGGAGGAACACCAGUGGCGAAGGCGGCUCACUGGACCAUUACUGACGCUGAGGUGCGAAAGCGUGGGGAGCAAACAGG